This is a long non-coding RNA of Oncorhynchus nerka (sockeye salmon), 2021 nucleotides long. RefSeq lists it as uncharacterized. The transcript is spliced from 2 exons. NCBI's taxonomy places the organism in Eukaryota, Metazoa, Chordata, Actinopteri, Salmoniformes, Salmonidae. The record is from RefSeq and is a predicted model, not a curated record.
CUCAGAGGAGAGGUUUGGAACAGCUAGUUGUCCUGAGAGAAGAGGUUUGGAACAGCUAGGGGUCCAGAGGAAAGGUUUGGAACAGCUGGGGGUCCAGAGGAGAGGUUUGGAACAGCUAGGGGUCCUGAGAAGAGGUUUGGAACAGCUGGGGGUCCAGAGGAGAGGUUUGGAACAGCUAGGGGUCCUGAGAAGAGGUUUGGAACAGCUGGGGGUCUCAGAGGAGAGGUUCGGAACAGCUGGGGGUCUCAGAGGAGAGGUUUGGAACAGCUGGGGGUCUCAGAGGAUAGGUUUGGAACAGCUAGGGGUCCCAGAGGAGAGGUUUGGAACAGCUGGGGGUCUCAGAGGAGAGGUUUGGAACAGCUGGGGUUCCUGAGGAGAGGUUUGGAACAGCUAGUUUUCCUAAGAAGAGGUUUGGAACAGCUAGUUGUCCUGAUGAGAGGUUUGGAACAGCUCGUUUUCCUGAGAAGAGGUUUGAAAUAGCUAGUUGUCCCGAUGAGAGGUUUGGAACAGCUGGGGUUCCUGAGGAGAGGUUUGGAACAGCUAGUUGUCCUGAGGGGAGGUUUGGAACAGCUGGGGGUCCCAGAGGAGAGGUUUGGAACAGCUGGGGGUCUCAGAGGAGAGGUUUGGAACAGCUGGGGGUCCCCGUGGAAAGUUUUGGAACAGCUGGGGGUCUCGGAGGAGAGGUUCGGAACAGCUGGGGGUCCUGAGGAGAGGUUUGGGACAAAUGGGGGUCCUGAGGAGAGGUUUGGAACCGCUGGGGGUCGUGAGGAGAGGUUUGGAACAGCUGGGGGUCUCGGAGGAGAGGUUUGGAACAGCUGGGGGUCCUGAGGAGAGGUUUGGAACAGCUGGGGGUCUCAGAGGAGAGGUUUGGAACAGCUAGUUGUCCUGAGAAGAGGUUUGGGACAGCUGGGGGUCCUGAGGAGAGGUUUGGAACCGCUGGGGGUCUCAGAGGAGAGGUUUGGAACAGCUGGGGGUCCUACGGAGAGGUUUGGAACAGCUGGGGGUCUCAGAGGAGAGGUAUGGAACAGCUGGGGGUCCUAAGGAGAGGUUUGGAACAGCUAGUUGUCCCGAGGAGAGGUUUGGAACAGCUAGUUGUCCCGAGGAGAGGUAUGGAACAGCUGGGGGUCUCAGAGGAGAGGUUUGGAACUGCUGGGGGUCUCAGAGGAGAGGUUUGGAACAGAUAGUUGUCCCGAGGAGAGGUUUGGAACAGCUGGUGGUCCGGAGUAGAGGUUUGGAACAGCUGGGGGUCCUGAGGAGAGGUUUGGAACAGCUGGGGGUCCUGAGAGGAGGUUUGGAACAGCUGGGGGUCCUGAGAGGAGGUUUGGAACAGCUGGGGGUCCUGAGAAGAGGUUUGGAACAGCUGGGGUUCCCAGAGGAGAGAUUUGGAACAGCUUGUGGUCCAGAGGAGGGGUUUUGAACAGCUGGGGGUCUCAGAGGAGAGGUUUGGAACAGCUAGUUGUCCUGAGAAGAGGUUUGGAACAGCUAGGGGUCCAGAGGAAAGGUUUGGAACAGCUGGGGGUCCAGAGGAGAGGUUUGGAACAGCUAGGGGUCCUGAGAAGAGGUUUGGAACAGCUGGGGGUCCAGAGGAGAGGUUUGGAACAGCUAGGGGUCCUGAGAAGAGGUUUGGAACAGCUGGGGGUCUCAGAGGAGAGGUUCGGAACAGCUGGGGGUCCUGAGGAGAGGUUUGGAAUAGCUGGGGGUCCUGAGGAGAGGUUUGGAACAGCUGGGGUCUCAGAGGAGAGGUUUGGAACAGCUAGUUGUCCUGAGGAGAGGUUUGGGAUGGCUAGUUGUCCUGAGGAGAGUUUGGGACGGCUGGGGGUCCCAGAGGAGAGGUUUGAGAACCCCUGUCUUAGCCGCUUUAUCAAGCCAUCCACCAUUCAUCUUUAUACAGUGAUUCUCUGAUUAAUACAAAUGUUCCUGUAUUUAAACUCCUUGUUAUUGUCUCUUAAAUAAAAAAUGUUCAGUAUUUGAUAUGAAUUUGUGGCAUUUGGCUUAACUUUUAAUAAACACAUUUUCUGUGG